UAUCCGCUUGCUACUCACGGUCAGUUGUACCGUACAUAUCACAGAAAAGACGAGUGCCAUACAAAUACACUGUGUUGUACUUUCAGUUCUCAUAUUAUAAGAUCUAUUUUUAUCGAUCACGAUUUGCAUCCAAAGCAGAUCCGCACGGCGCACACGCAGCGCGACCACUGCCAGUCAUUGGUUCGUUUCAGCGGUGUAAUUUUGUAUAUACUUCUAUGCAAACCCAGCAGGCGUUCUUAUCAGAUGCAGCAAAUUUAAGUUAUUUUGAAGUCUAACAAAGCGCUUUUAUACUACAAAGACCAUUCGAAUUUUAAGUUACGGUAACAAUUUUUGAAUUGUACAUAUAAACUGUACAUGUUUAGUGAAACCACACGACCUUUUGACUUUUUGCGAUGUGUUGCUCGGGUAGGCGUAAAGUGCCAGUAGCAAAGCUUUGUACUAUCGUUCCAUGGCUGAACAGGAAACACAGAAAAAGGAUCUCACUCUGUGUCAAAUCUGACAUUUACGACGACUGUCCGCAUCCGCAUCACGAGAAAAUUGUUUAUCGUACAAUUCAGCCUAUAUAUCAGCAAUUGUGGAUGAAUUUCAUUCUUUCCACUUUGCGAUUCGUCUUGGAAGGCAUUGUUUUGUUAUGGGCGGCUCACAAAGUUUUGGUAACCGAUUAUGGCACUCCGAUUGCUUACGCCAAUAAAACAAACGAAGAUUGCAACAGUACGAACAUAGUGGACUCCAACUGGAAAUUCUGGCUUUUGUGGGCCAACACCGGUGCGCUGAUCACCCUGAUUUGGCUGCUCUCUGUGGUGGUUUUAAAUAGAAUAUAUAUGUUAGUAAAGACUGGACAGUGGCGUCCGGGGGCGGGAAAACCUCAGUUUCGCGAGAUUAUCUUCUCCUUGGUGGCAGUCAAGCAAAUGCUUGAGGGCAUAACGGUAACGACUAGCUGCCUCGGAUUGCUAAUGUCCUUGUGUUGGAUCAUUUCAACCUGGUAUUCACAUGAGUGUCCGACCACGACAAAUCUGAACAUCGAUCCGAUCAUUGGUCUGUUUAUCACGCCAUGGAUCGUUUUAGCCGCUGCGAUCGUGUUCAAUGCACGUUUAUGCUGCUCAAAAAUAUAUCUUUUGACAAGCCAUCGGCAGCGGCUUCGGUUCCGCAGUUGCACGGAGAUCCAGAUGACACGUCGGUUGCUCCGAAUGUCCGUCGUAUGGCCCAUUGUGCGCGAGGAGGACCGCCCCCUAGCCGGCACCAAAACGUUGCCUGGGUGGUGACCGUUUUACACGCGUAAAUGUCGAGGUCAUUAUUUUACUUAGUAAAAUAUUUAGGGUUUUUAAGUUCCAAAGUUACCGACACCCCGUACAGUAUUUUCUGAAUGUCUUAUUGUCAAGGGAAUCUUACGUCACCGUACCGACAAUUUCCCUAUCCAAGUUGCGCUUAAACGGUUUUCAGGCCAAUGGGUACCAAUAUAGCUUAAACUACGUCAAAAAAUCAUUUAGCUUACACUACGUCAAAAAUCCAUGGAAAAAAAGCGUUUGGGAGCGAAAGCAAGAGUUCCCGUGUGUGUACCGUGUGCAAGUACAUGAAUUUGGUACUGUACCAUUUUGAUUUACUCGGUCACUUCCUUUUAAGCACUGUACGUUGGCAACCGCAGGGCUAUGCGCCGCAAAAUUAUGGUAAAGAUAGUCGCAAAAUAUGCAAUAAAGGCUCAGUUUUUCUAGGGUUACGUACGUGUAGAAGUUCUGUAACGUUGAGACACUUUACCUGAUCCUUCUCGUCAUUCUUAUUAAUACUGGAGCGAGUGUUUACUCUCUUGUUACGUUUGGCGUUACGGUUUGUGCAUACUGUACCGGCCCACCGGGCAGUGUAUGACACUGUAUUUACUCUGUAUCUUUAUUUUGCCAACAACACAGUUACCAAGAGACAGCGCUUUUUGAAAAAGAAGGCAGUAUGGAUCCAGUAGUGGAAUUCAGUGUGUUAUUAAAUAUCGAAGCUAAAAAUUAGCCCAUCAAAACAAAAAUGUUGGCACAGAUGAUUACGUACUAUUUUGCCACAUACAAUUGCCUCCAGAUUAUAAUAAUUCGGCAGUUUUCGGGACAACAAUUGUAAAAUUAAAGUUAUCUUUUCGGAACACUCUUCCUGAUUUUAUUUGGCGGUGCAUAGGCGGCAUCUGGAGAAGGACGGGUUUAAAAGUCAAAGAUCUGCAAAGUAUUCUGCAUGAUUAUAAAAGUAAACUCGGUAAAGCAUCCUCCCCAACAGAACCAUCGCAGUUGAUUCACGUUUUCCACACGAAAACACCAAGCAUUUUAAUGGCAAAUUCGUGAAAUCCUUUACCAUGAGCGGCGUUGUCCAGCACACUUCCACCUCCGACGCGGAAGCGGUCGCUGUUGGUUCACACAGUGUGGCGACGCAGGAGACCACUCAUGUGGCCGUCGCCCCGCAUGAAGCACUCCCGUCGGCCGUCGGUAUCCUUCCGCAGUGUCGUUCUGGUGUACGCUAUACCAAGGCGCAAUGCGUACGAGUACUUGUUAUUGUAUUCUCCCGCAUCGGAAUGGAAGCGUGGUUACCGCCGUGAAAGCGUCCUCGGAAACGAUGGCCAUUAUUCCCAUGGCCACCACGACUCAGCGCGCUGUGCAAUGCAGUGAUGAUUUUGUUUCCGAAUGCUGAUUGAGUGUUAUAUCGAAUUUGUGUUAACGGGAAGGCUGAAAUGAAGUAUUCAGCGUUGCGCAGGUGGGCAAUGCGAUGCUCGUGGAACUUAUUCUGCAUUCAAAUGGACACGAUUUCUGCAUGGUGUUGCCGAAGUGUGGCGUCCCUGUUAAAGACUUGGAGCGAUGCCGAUCGAAGUAUCAGCAAAGGACAAACCUAAACUUUAAAGCAAAAAAGGUCACACUACAAAAAGAACACACUGCAAGUGAUUUUAGCCGAAUCAUUCCUUGAAGCGACAAGCGACUUGAGAGAGAUUCCUGGGAAGGAGAUGGAGUCGCCCCGGACAAUGUUGGUGGUACCGCCAGAAUGGGAAAGCACAGUCGGUCUCGCAGAUCGUGUAUUACCUGAAACACAAGACACGGCAGCAGCAGUUUGUUCGUACGAUGUUUCCUGUAAUCCGAACUCAUCCGGUUUUCUGAUAGUCUGUAUUAUAUCGCCCGAUCCCAAGUGCAAGGAGCAGCAGAUAUCGUUUUUUUAUCUCGCGAUUGCGGAUGCAGUUUAAUUAUUGCGGCCGUUGGAAAGGAGGAAACUGUGCUUUAUGGUUUGGAAUCUUCUGAAAAACAGUCGAGGAAGUUGUUCUCGCAUCCUAAUUUGCCCAUGGAUUAUUUAUGGUUGUCGGGAAGGCAUAUAACAAUAAAGAUCGACAUGAUUUCAACGACGUCUCCGAUGUGACAUGUUUUCCACUGGAACUGGAACAUAUAAUUGGUAACAGAAGUCUUCAAGGAAUCGUUGACGAUAGUCACGCAGGUAUGCUUUCUUUCUGCUUAUUGGAACUCCGUUUUCUUCCUUGCUUUUGUUAUAAGUUACUCUGGAUGAAGUUAAUGAGCCGCUCUACAUGGUAUGAUGGUCGAUGGUGUUUCCGGCCAAGAUCAUACGACCGUAUCUCCGUCUGUUUGUACGGAAACCGUUGCUGUUCUGCCUGGUGAUCGAACACUUAGCUUGGAUUAUGCGCACCUUGCAAAUGUCCCGACUACCGGGACGCCAGCUAUGGAGAGCGACAGUUUAUCUCAGCUGACUUCCGUCGCUGAACACAGUGAAAUUAGCAAUCCGGUGGCUGUUUCUGGUGAUACAGUCUGACGAGUGACGAGUGACUGAUGACGCAUGGCGCCCCGAUGACGCAUUGAAUCCAGAAAUUGAGAGUUCCGGUUGUCAUAUCGAUACGGUGGAGCGGAAAUUAAAGGGCAUCUGAACCUUUAUUCACCAUUCUCCAGUAUCGCCGGGAUCUGUUCUCGUUGUCCCGCCAACUAUGGAAGAUCUAAGUUAUAUAAGAAAUCUUUUUGAAUUCAGCUCACUCAAUGAUCUGGGUGUCCUGGCCAGUAGCCGCAGCAAAUUAUGUGAUCAAGUUUCGCGAUCUGUCAGCCCGGGAACAAUGAUGCAUUCUAACAAUAAGAGCGCUGCGCAGAGUAAUGCCGCCAGUAUUUACAUUGUUUCAUCCUACGGGGAUGUUUUUGAGUUUGCAUCAGUAAUUAAGGACAACGCUGUGUUCCGAAACCCGGGGCGAAUUUGACAUCGUUAGCCAUUCGAGCGUGCGAAAGAUUCCCGACAGCAUGGGCUGUAGUGCGUACCUGUCGUGGUGCUAGAUUCGACUGCACGGCGGAUCUCAGGCAUCCUGUAUAAUCUUUAUUUACCCCUCAAUAUUACAAAGGAGUCAAGGAUGCUCCAAAGUUUCCUAUUUUGUCUCCCUGCCAUGCAAUUUGAAAUCAACUGGAAACUAGAUUAUCAUUGCAAAUGGAUCGCGCAGUUCUACUUACCUCCAGAAAUACUGUUUGCUGCAAUGGAGAGAUUUUGAUUGUUUAGGGCUAUCUGCGACUGAAUCUCAUUCGUUCGUAUUUGUGUGGAAAUUCUUUGCUGAUUUACAGCAGGUGCCUUUUGGGGAUCAGCUACUGGAUUGCUCUGGACGCAUAAGUUUCUUUCUGGUGGACGAACAGCAAUUUCUUAUUUCUUUCUUCUUUCUUACGCGGAGGAAUAGUACGGCCAGUCAUAUUUACGAAAUCCAGUCAUUCCAGUGUGUGUUUGUGGAGCAUGAUGAUGAAGUAGUCUCGGGAUGGCAGUAACUGAAGCCUGUUUAUGAAUACUAUUGGAAGCUGUACUAAAAUCUGAUGGUUUUACGGGUUUUUUAGACGGAAGUGUGAAUUUUUUUGUUCCCUUAUAAUCUUGCCAGUGGUUGUAACACUUUAAGCUUUUUCGCUGGUAAUUGUUAAAAAUUGUAUUCAAAAACCUUUGGCUGUUGAUAUUGUUCAUAACAAAUUGCAAAGAAGUGAACUGUUCAAUGUAUUUUCGCGCUGUUAUGAACAAGAGCACAAUUACAUUGUUUUUUAUCAUGCAGUUGAGCUGCGAUACAUUACCAACUCCAUUUACAAUUUAUAUCGACGCCAAUUUCUCACUGGUCAGACGCGUAAGCCAUA
This is a long non-coding RNA of Paramacrobiotus metropolitanus, 5099 nucleotides long. RefSeq lists it as uncharacterized. NCBI's taxonomy places the organism in Eukaryota, Metazoa, Tardigrada, Eutardigrada, Parachela, Macrobiotidae. The transcript is spliced from 14 exons. The record is from RefSeq and is a predicted model, not a curated record.